This 78-nucleotide small nucleolar RNA is filed under the name Castor canadensis (American beaver). Its description in RNAcentral is "Small nucleolar RNA SNORA32 (ENSCCNG00000012079.1)". The record is from RNAcentral. Lineage: Eukaryota; Metazoa; Chordata; Mammalia; Rodentia; Castoridae.
UGUUUGCUGAAGAAGUAUAAUCUCCCACUAGGUUUUCUAUGUGCUACCUCUUUAGCAAUCAACCUAUCAGGAACAUUU